Molecule: ribosomal RNA, 734 nt
Filed under: Bacillus subtilis
Lineage: Bacteria; Bacillati; Bacillota; Bacilli; Caryophanales; Bacillaceae
Description: bacterial SSU rRNA
Rfam family: Bacterial small subunit ribosomal RNA
Source: RNAcentral
ACCGGGGAGGGUCAUUUGGAAACUGGGGAACUUUGAGUUGCAGAAGAGGAGAGUGGAAUUCCACGUGUAGCGGUGAAAUUGCGUAGAGAUGUGGAGGAACACCAGUGGCGAAGGCGACUCUCUGGUCUGUAACUGACGCUGAGGAGCGAAAGCGUGGGGAGCGAACAGGAUUAGAUACCCUGGUAGUCCACGCCGUAAACGAUGAGUGCUAAGUGUUAGGGGGUUUCCGCCCCUUAGUGCUGCAGCUAACGCAUUAAGCACUCCGCCUGGGGAGUACGGUCGCAAGACUGAAACUCAAAGGAAUUGACGGGGGCCCGCACAAGCGGUGGAGCAUGUGGUUUAAUUCGAAGCAACGCGAAGAACCUUACCAGGUCUUGACAUCCUCUGACAAUCCUAGAGAUAGGACGUCCCCUUCGGGGGCAGAGUGACAGGUGGUGCAUGGUUGUCGUCAGCUCGUGUCGUGAGAUGUUGGGUUAAGUCCCGCAACGAGCGCAACCCUUGAUCUUAGUUGCCAGCAUUCAGUUGGGCACUCUAAGGUGACUGCCGGUGACAAACCGGAGGAAGGUGGGGAUGACGUCAAAUCAUCAUGCCCCUUAUGACCUGUGCUACACACGUGCUACUAUGGACAGAACACAGGGCAGCGAAACCGCGAGGUUAAGCCAAUCCCACAUAUCUGUUCUCAGUUCGGAUCGCAGUCUGCAACUCGACUGCGUGAAGCUGGAAUCGCUAGUAAU